UCGGUGGUUCAGUUGUAGAAUGCUCGCCUGCCACGCGGGCGGCCCAGGUUCGAUUCCCGGCCGAAGAA
RNAcentral lists this transfer RNA (68 nucleotides) under Cordylochernes scorpioides. RNAcentral's name for it is "tRNA-Gly". It matches the Rfam family "tRNA". Rfam says of the family: Transfer RNA (tRNA) molecules are approximately 80 nucleotides in length. Their secondary structure includes four short double-helical elements and three loops (D, anti-codon, and T loops). Further hydrogen bonds mediate the characteristic L-shaped molecular structure. tRNAs have two regions of fundamental functional importance: the anti-codon, which is responsible for specific mRNA codon recognition, and the 3' end, to which the tRNAs corresponding amino acid is attached (by aminoacyl-tRNA synthetases). tRNAs cope with the degeneracy of the genetic code in two manners: having more than one tRNA (with a specific anti-codon) for a particular amino acid; and 'wobble' base-pairing, i.e. permitting non-standard base-pairing at the 3rd anti-codon position. Lineage: Eukaryota; Metazoa; Arthropoda; Arachnida; Pseudoscorpiones; Chernetidae. The record is from RNAcentral.